Molecule: long non-coding RNA, 611 nt
Organism: Brassica oleracea var. oleracea
Lineage: Eukaryota; Viridiplantae; Streptophyta; Magnoliopsida; Brassicales; Brassicaceae
Exons: 2
Source: RefSeq, a predicted model, not a curated record
AAAAAAUAGGUUAAAAAUUUAAUCAUUUAAAAUUUUGAUUUCCUAACUCCUCUGGUCGUUCUAUAUUGCUGAUUCGUAUUGUAUAAUUAGUGGCUAAGUGUUUAAGCUUUUACCAAGAAAACUAAUCUUUCUAGAAGUAGUAUACAUGAAAAAUAAAGUGGGGUUGUUGAAAAUUUUCUUCGAAUUUUAAAAAUGUUGGAUAUAAUAAAUAUGUUUUGUAGAUACCUCGAUAUAAAGUAAACAAUUAAUUUCUUAUUUUUUCUGAAAUUUCAGAACUGUUGAGAAAAAUACUAUAGUUUUCGAAGGUGAUUGCUAAACAGUUCCAGAACUCCACCGAUUCUAGACCAGCGUGAUGCCCAAUUGUGGUUCCAAAACCUAGAGUUCCUGAGAUUCUGAAAAAGUGAUAAAAUGUAAGACGAAGCCUCUGAGCUGUGACCACCAGCCAUCCAUAACACGCAACAGCAGAUUCUGCAAUUAGAAAGGUCUCAUUUGUGUCUCAAUCUAAAGAUCCGAGUCUGAGAUAUGUGAUAAAAGGAGAUGAUUUGAUAAAGGAAGGAUGUAUAAUGAUUCUUACAGCUUCUAGAAAAGGACCAUGUCUUGUCUUUCUGAUU